RNAcentral lists this ribosomal RNA (519 nucleotides) under Trichoderma cf. harzianum ROG-2010. RNAcentral describes it as "eukaryotic LSU rRNA". The stretch from base 202 to 352 matches the Rfam family "5.8S ribosomal RNA". Lineage: Eukaryota; Fungi; Ascomycota; Sordariomycetes; Hypocreales; Hypocreaceae. The record is from RNAcentral.
ACCGAGUUUACAACUCCCAAACCCAAUGUGAACGUUACCAAACUGUUGCCUCGGCGGGAUCUCUGCCCCGGGUGCGUCGCGCCCCGGACCAAGGCGCCCGCCGGAGGACCAACCUAAAACUCUUAUUGUAUACCCCCUCGCGGGUUUUUUUAUAAUCUGAGCCUUCUCGGCGCCUCUCGUAGGCGUUUCGAAAAUGAAUCAAACUUUCAACAACGGAUCUCUUGGUUCUGGCAUCGAUGAAGAACGCAGCGAAAUGCGAUAAGUAAUGUGAAUUGCAGAAUUCAGUGAAUCAUCAAUCUUUGAACGCACAUUGCGCCCGCCAGUAUUUGGGGGCAUGCCUGUCCGAGCGUCAUUUCAACCCUCGAACCCCUCCGGGGGGUCGGGUUGGGGAUCGGCCCUCCCUUAGCGGGGUGGCGUCUCCGAAAACAGUGGGGUCUCGCCGCAGCCUCUCCUGCGCAGUAGUUUGCACACUCGAUCGGGAGCGCGGCGCGUCCACAGCCGUUAACACCCACUUCUGAA